Molecule: long non-coding RNA, 607 nt
Organism: Choloepus didactylus (southern two-toed sloth)
Lineage: Eukaryota; Metazoa; Chordata; Mammalia; Pilosa; Megalonychidae
Exons: 3
Source: RefSeq, a predicted model, not a curated record
GACGAGGGGGGUUGCUGAGGCCUGGGGUUCCGCCUGGGGAGUGAGUCCCUGGUGCGGUCGAGCUGGAAUGGGGGUGGUGAGGCAGCCGGGAGGAGUUGGGUAGGAAUUCCUCGGCCCGGACCAAGCCGGUGGUUGGGCGCCCUCUGGGCUCCAGCUUUGACAGCCCAAGCCGCGUCUGAGAUGCAGUUGGACGGUGAUCACCUGCCUUCCCCGUAAGGCACCUCAAUCCUCCGGAGAAUGUGGGGGAGUGUGUUUGGUCUGAAGAGGUUGACAACUCUGGAUAUAAAGGAAAUGCUCAAUCUUCCUAAUGUAUGUGGGACUCACCCCAGCAAGGAGGACCCUCCUUUGAGAGGACAGUGAUGAAGACGAUGCCUGACACCUGAAGGCUAAUGGUGGACGGUCAGGCAGCCUCACAGAUGGGGAAACUGAGGACAACAAGGUUAAAUGACUUGCUCAAGGCCACCAGUGGGUAUGUUUUAAAGAUGCGAUUCGAACCCAGGUCUGUCUUACCCUUCAACCAAUGCUAUUCUGUACCCUGCUGCCCCCCUGGUAAUAAUAAUGAUACCAACGUUGGAAGUAAUAGUAAAAAUAAUGAUAGUGGCUAUGA